This is a long non-coding RNA of Cuculus canorus (common cuckoo), 3469 nucleotides long. RefSeq lists it as uncharacterized. The transcript is spliced from 5 exons. Lineage: Eukaryota; Metazoa; Chordata; Aves; Cuculiformes; Cuculidae. The record is from RefSeq and is a predicted model, not a curated record.
AGCGGACUUUCCUACCUGCUGGGGCUUGGCCGGGAGGGGCAGGGUCUGACCCCGCUGGCUCCAGGGCACUUGGAAGGCUCGGGAUGAAGGGGUGAGAAUUCACCCAGUGAUCACCCACCUUACAAUUUUACAGCCAAACCUUAUUCUCGGGAGAAUUUUCUCCUUUCUCUCUUUAUUUUGGCUUUGAACACCAAAACCCACCACCCGCUUUGUGGGGGUUUUGAGGUUUUUUUUGUUUAUUUUUAGUGAAAGAAAGUCCUUUCUCAUCUCAAACCCACCCAUCUCCAGGAGCACCAGCAGGGCUGGGUGGGUUUCUCUUUGCAGCCGAGCUGGGCAUCUCCUCAGAGCUCUUUCCUCAAGGAAAAUGCUUAUUUUUGAAGAAGAAGGGAGCAAGUGGAGCCCUGCCCGUGCUGUCCCACUGCCCGUCUCCACCCGGGGCUUUUGCCAACACCAGGACAAGCCGACAGCGAGGGUGAAGGCAAGCUGCCUCCCUCCUCCGGUGCGAAGGAUGGCCAACGGAGCAGGUUGCCAUGGAGAACCGGGAUUACUCUGCGCGUGUGUGUGUGUGUACCGAGGCCGGCGAAGGGGGGGAAGAAAAAAAAAACCAUCGUAAUUUCUUUUCCCAAACCUUUGCGAUGGAGCGCUAUGCCGUCGGCAGCCUUGGGAGCUACAACCUCCCAACCCCAUCGCCAUCCCCUCCUCCCUUACUCCUUCGAGCCCAGCUUCUGCAGCAGCUCCUCCAUCGGGCUCUUAUCUCCAAUAAUCCCCCCGUAAGAGGGCUUUCUGCUUGUUAUGACACCCAGUGAAAGCGUGGGAGAAAGAUCCUUUCUUCGCCCUUGUCCUCCACAGCCAGCCACUAGCCUGAAUGGGAGGCUUUUUUGUGUCUCUGUGUGCCUGACUAAUUGAGCUGAAGGACUUGCGUCUGGAAGGGCUUGAAAGGGACUUUUGUUGCCGCUGCGGAGUUUGUGGAAGGCGAAUGAGUCCUGCUUUCUUAGGGGACGCGGGUCCUGGGCAAAUUUGACUCUCGAGUGCUCACGCCUCUGGGAAAAAUCAGAAAAAAAGGGUGGUGGGUUUGGGGUUUGUUUUGUACAUGGGUUUUUUUUGUUGUUUUUAGGAGGGCUGUUGGCGCUGGGAAAUUAAGAAGCCGGUGCUGGAAAGGUUGGUGAGCUGGCUUGAAAAAAAAGAGCGUAGUGAAAUGAGUUAAAAAUAACAAUAUCGGGAGCUUUUGCCUCCAAAAAUAGUAGUAUUGAGAGCCUUCUUCUCCAAAAAUAGCAGUAUUGAGCGCAUUUUCCUCCUGCUUUUUUAGCGCCUGGUAAUCAAAACCCAAAUUCCCUUUGUGAUCCCACUAGAAUUUUUUUUUGUGGUCUAAAGGCACUUCCAUGCGCAUCCCGAGAAACGACGAGCAUUGACUAUUAUGAGGCGGUUUGAGUCACUGCUGCAAAAUUCUUCUCUUUUCCUUUUGCCCUUGAUCGGAAGGAUGAAAAGUAGGGAUUGUCCCUGAGAGGGUUUGAAUUUGUGCAUGGUGCAAGGUCACCCCUGGGUGAUUCCUGGCCCAGGACCGCGUGAGCAUGCAGGAGGGGAGCUUUCUGCAACCUACAACAGCCUUAAACCCCAGAUCCUUCCUAAAAAAUAAACCACCUGGAAGGAAAACCAAGAGAUUUGCUGCAGCGGUUUGGAAAUUCAAAGGUUUUUCUCUGCUGGGAAGGUGGGUUUGGACCACCUGGCUGGGGCCUUUGGGGACUUUGCUCCUGCUGCUCCAUGUCCCAUCCCAAAGACUUGAUGUUUCCAUGUUUUUCUGUCCAGGAUAUUUUCUUCCUGCUUAUUUUUUAUGGUCUAACGCUGGAUUCACUCCAAAACCAGCAGCACCCUCUCCCAGCCUGGGUUUUCCCCAUGGCGCGGCUUAGGAAGAGUCCUGUGCCAAGUCUAGUGCUGAGCAUCCCAUCUGGAAACCUUGCAAGGAGGGAAAAUAUAUAUUUUUGCAGGGGAAAACCAGGGAUUUGGGGCAGGAAAAAAAAGCCUGGCACAUGGCAAAGUUUGGGCAGAGUCACUUGUGGCUUUUUAAAUGGGCUGCUGGUACGGAUAGGGAAGAAAGCAGUUGGAUGAGGGAUGUUCCGAGCUUCUGUUGCUUCAUUCACAUUCCAAGCUUCUCUUGGGACGUGCAGCCCUUGGGCCUCGUCAAGAUGCCGCUUGAAAUUAUAAUCAAAAAUAAGCUUCCUUUGUCAUUUUUUCCCUUUUCCCCUCUUAUUUUUCCUUCUUUCCAGUGAUAUCGCAGUGCUCUCUGCACAAGGAACCGCUGUCAAAGCUGCCAGGCUCCAUCCCACCCCCUGUGUGGAUAAACACUCCCAGCAUGGGUUGUUUGGCAGGCGGUUUCUAAUGCAAAGUGACUUAAAACAUUUUGAAAGUUGCAUUUUUUUGUGUGUGAUUUGGGUGACAGAGGAGCUGCAGAGGUCCAUGGAGCCUCUUUUCUCUUUCCCUUGGGCUGCGUAAAAUCCAGGGCCAAAGAGAUGCUUCAAGAAUGGGGAAAAAAACAGAGCAAAUACGUUGGGAACAGAUGUGAACGUGAAAUCUGAUGGAGAGGAGAGGUGAAGGCGGAGAAAAAGAGCAGCCUGAGGUCCGUCCCGCCACGGCUCCAGGGAUGCCUUUGGCACCAGGUAUUGGCUAAGCGACUCCAAACUCGUUACCGGCUUGGGGAGGAGAGUGGGUUCAACCUCUGUGAUGGUCAUCAUCUGGCUGGUGAAUCGCAUGUCCCUGGUCCUGGUGAAAUUUCUCAGGGAACUUCCCGCUCAACUCACUAUAACGUGAACGCCGGAGGUGGGGCUAUAUGGAAGAGAAGUCGCUUCCAAAAGCCAGGAGACACUGCCCGUGUGGGAGCUGCCUGCAGGACCCUCAGCAGAAGCCCCUCACCACGGCUGAUCCUGUGGGCACCCUCCUCCUCUUCCUCCUCCUGGCCCGGAGCGUGACGUAGAUGAUGAUUUGCACCAGCAUCCAUCCAAGCUGCUCGGGGCUCCCACCAGCACCGGUUUGGGAAUGGAUGGGGUGGAGAGGACACCAAGAUGGUCCCAACCUGCUGCUUCGCAUCACUCCUGGGCAGCUCGCUGGUGAAGACGACGAAGCUGCAAGGGGGGGAAAAAAAAGAAGAAAAGGAAAGGAAAAAAAAGUCACCAAACAGAGGAAAUCUGUGCUAAUUGCUUAUGAAUGUCUCUGUCGAAGAAAUUAUCGAAUUGAUGUUGUCGCACUUUUUUUUGACAGCCUGUCUGUUAGGGUUUUUUUUUUUUUUAAAUAUUCAUGCGCCGAAAUCUAAUUACCAGGCGAAUUUAAUGAUAAUGAAAUGAAGGCACUUUAGCAGAAAGCAGAGGGUCUGGGUAAUGUUUUCUCAGCCUCUGCCUUGUUGGUAUUUCUACAAUUAUUUUAUUUUUUACAACUGUAUAUUGAAAAAAAGAAAAAAGGAUUGCUGAAAAUAAAACUUGGA